GCGGGUAUGAUGGAAUUGGCAGACAUGCGAGAUUUAGGUUCUCGUGCCGCGAGGCGUGCAGGUUCAAGCCCUGUUACCCGCACCA
Molecule: transfer RNA, 85 nt
Filed under: Oscillospiraceae bacterium
Lineage: Bacteria; Bacillati; Bacillota; Clostridia; Eubacteriales; Oscillospiraceae
Description: tRNA-Leu
Rfam family: tRNA
About the family: Transfer RNA (tRNA) molecules are approximately 80 nucleotides in length. Their secondary structure includes four short double-helical elements and three loops (D, anti-codon, and T loops).
Source: RNAcentral